UACGGAGGGGGCGAGCGUUAUUCGGAAUUAUUGGGCGUAAAGGGCUCGUAGGCGGUUUGUCGCGUCGGGAGUGAAAACACCGGGCUUAACUCGGUGCUGGCUUUCGAUACGGGCAGACUAGAGGUAUGCAGGGGAGAACGGAAUUCCUGGUGUAGCGGUGAAAUGCGCAGAUAUCAGGAAGAACACCAAUGGCGAAGGCAGCUCUCUGGGACGGUACUGACGCUGAGACGCGAAAGCGUGGGGAGCGAACAGG
This 253-nucleotide ribosomal RNA is filed under the name uncultured bacterium. Its description in RNAcentral is "partial 16S ribosomal RNA". It matches the Rfam family "Bacterial small subunit ribosomal RNA", at positions 524 to 776 of the family's 1533-position model. The record is from RNAcentral.